CCCCAUUCGCCCACCUCCGGCCGAACUCAUUUCGGCCGGAUUGACCCCGGCCGGCCACCGUCGGCCGGCCGAAACCCAUCAAAAAAAAAAAUUCCAAAACAGGGGAUGAAAACCAGUUGCCAUCCCUCAUUUCUCUCCCCUUAAAUCCCAAAAAAAAAACAAUAAAUAGGUUGCCUUUCUCACCUCUAGUCGUCGACGUAAGGAUCCCCGGCGGCGUUGGCGGCUCCGGCGGCGGCGAGGCUCCGGCGAUCCUCUCACAAAGAGGGAAAAACGAAGAGGAGGGGAUGGGCUCUCAGAGAAAAGAGAAAGGGGGAGAGAGAGAGAGAGAGAGAGAGAGG
RNAcentral lists this long non-coding RNA (338 nucleotides) under Phoenix dactylifera (date palm). RNAcentral describes it as "long non-coding RNA (PDAC_LNC006513)". The record is from RNAcentral. Lineage: Eukaryota; Viridiplantae; Streptophyta; Magnoliopsida; Arecales; Arecaceae.